RNAcentral lists this unclassified non-coding RNA (379 nucleotides) under uncultured Oligoflexales bacterium. Its description in RNAcentral is "contains 16S-23S intergenic spacer region". The record is from RNAcentral. Lineage: Bacteria; Pseudomonadati; Bdellovibrionota; Oligoflexia; Oligoflexales.
UCCGUGUUAACCACGGCAGUCUCUUUAGAGAGCCCAACUUAAUGCUGGCAACUAAAGACAAGGGUUGCGCUCGUUGCGGGACUUAACCCAACAUGUCACCACACGAGCUGACGACAGCCAUGCAGCACCUGUCUCCUUGUUGUAUUGCUACAAAGAUCGUAUUUCUACGACUGUCAAGGGAUGUCAAACCCAGGUAAGGUUUUUCGCGUUGCUUCGAAUUAAACCACAUGAUCCACCGCUUGUGCGGGCCCCCGUCAAUUCCUUUGAGUUUUAGUCUUGCGACCGUACUCCCCAGGCGCGGUACUUAUCGCGUUAGCUCCGGCUCGGCAGGAGUCAAGACCCGCCUAACCUAGUACCGAUCGUUUACAGCGUGGACUAC